UCCACCUAAAAAGCAAUAAUCGUUGGAAAACAAGAUCUGAGAAGCUAAAACCCUAUCUCCUGUGAGAAAAAACAAUUUUGGAACUGGGGUAGGCUUGGAAUCCUCUGGCGAUCUAAAAGGAGCAAACAAAUUCCAGAAAAAGUCACUGGAAAGUUGUCUACUCACUGGCGCAUAAGACAUACGUGUGGUGGAGUCAGAGAUAUUCACGGCGCAUGACGACGUGUGGGGAGGUCCUUCUUGGAGCUGCUUAUUGGGGUUUUGUCACUGUUUCUAGAGGAAUCUUGUAAUUGUGUUAGUUGCUCCACACUACUGGUAUAUAAUUUCUUUGAUGCAUACAACCACCGGGAGGGAGUAAAAACACGACCUCUUUCAAAAAACUGGAACCCUAUAGUGCUGCCAAGCCCUGAGGGAGGAAACUCUGUGCAAAAGGACAAUAGAGGCUCUG
RNAcentral lists this long non-coding RNA (445 nucleotides) under Nicotiana benthamiana. RNAcentral's name for it is "long non-coding RNA (NBEN_LNC005714)". The record is from RNAcentral. Lineage: Eukaryota; Viridiplantae; Streptophyta; Magnoliopsida; Solanales; Solanaceae.